GGGUGGAUGGGAUUCAACAAAUCUUGUGCUGCCGCAUGACCAUGACAUGACUUUGGAUGAACGUUCCAGAAGAGAACAAAACAGUAGUUUUUAGAGCAAUUGACAAUGUGUGACUUUUAAACUCUAAAAUACAGCAUCAAAUCAGAGAAGCAAUGGAUUGAUUUAAGCUAGUACAUCUGUAUAGGGAUAGAUUACAUAUUUGAAAAUGGCAAUACAAUGAGCCAUUCAUGGUUGUUUUUAUAUAAGUAAAACUAUCCAUCGUUCAAGCCGGAAAUAGAUUAUCUGGAUAAUGGAUAAUAUCACCGGAAAAAUUGUGACAAAUUAUUCAGAAACUGAAAGAUUGAGAUGUUUGGGUUAG
This 358-nucleotide unclassified non-coding RNA is filed under the name Hevea brasiliensis (rubber tree). Lineage: Eukaryota; Viridiplantae; Streptophyta; Magnoliopsida; Malpighiales; Euphorbiaceae. The record is from RNAcentral.